Molecule: long non-coding RNA, 1257 nt
Filed under: Elaeis guineensis (African oil palm)
Lineage: Eukaryota; Viridiplantae; Streptophyta; Magnoliopsida; Arecales; Arecaceae
Description: long non-coding RNA (EGUI_LNC016022)
Source: RNAcentral
GAGAAAAUAAUCCGAGGGCUGCUGAAGCUUCAUGCGAACCGGAGAUGCAUUAAUUGCAAUAAUCUGGUAUUUCUUUUCUUUCGUUGUGUUGUGCACAUGUGUCAAGCAGGUCGUCGGAGACCGCACGCUCCGCCCCACGAAGUAUUGCCCGCUUUGGCUGGGUCCGGACCGGGAGCGUGCCCAGUGGUCCCCACCGGGGGUUGUCCCCCCAGCGUUACGCAAACGGCCUCACGGUUUUGUCCCUUGCAUUGGGGUUCACCCCGCAAAAGGCGCCUCGUGAGGGAAGGUGUGCUCGUAUCCCUCUUAAGCAUAUGCACACACCAGAGUUGCCCGAUGUGGGACUAUUAAGGGAGGUCCUCCCACAGCCUGCCCACAACAGAUGCCCCCCACUCUGGAGGGUGCAGGUGUUGAGCGACAGGGGGCGGGUUACCCCUACCUGGCGCGCCACUGUUGUGCACAUGUGUCAAGCAGGUCGUCGGAGACCGCACGCUCCGCCCCACGAAGUAUUGCCCGCUUUGGCUGGAUCCGGACCGGGAGCGUGCCCAGUGGUCCCCACCGGGGGUUGUCCCCCAGCGUUACGCAAACGGCCUCACGGUUUUGUCCCUUGCAUUGGAGUUCACCCCGCAAAAGGCGCCUCGUGAGGGAAGGUGUGCUCGUAUCCCUCUUAAGCACAUGCACACACCAGAGUUGCCCGAUGUGGGACUAUUAAGGGAGGUCCUCCCACAGCCUGCCCACAACACGUUGAUUAAUAUUCUUCAAUUUGAAGCCACAUCUUGAAAGGAAGAACAGAAACGUAAUCUUGUCAUGCAAACAAGUCCAGGAUUAUAAGGAAAAAAGGUUUUGAUAAUCGGAGAGGUGAAUACGUGAAUCCGUGAAUGGGUGAAUUGUUGGGAUCGAAAGAAUGCUCACGUAUAUAGUCGGAUAUUUCUCACUUCUUUCAUGUUUUAUAAACCAGAUGAUGUUCUGGUGACCGGCAGAUUUAGGGUGGGAUGUGGAGAGUGAAACCCUAGCCCAAAGCUCGCGAGCAGUUCUACAUUAUUUUAUUAAUCAUUAGCCAUGGGAAAACGAUGCUACUAGGCUGCUCAUUUAUCUAACAGUUCCUUGGCCACCAUGGCGUUGGGAUGGCAUACCAUGAUUGGAGAACCCUUAUGAGUUGCACAAACCCAUUUGAAUCGCACUCAGCACACAUUAACUGUCACGCCCCCGAUCCGAGAUUGUGAAUCAAGGGUCGCGGCAACCGCUGCAUACUCAUGAAGA